GAGUUUGAUCGUGGCUCAGAUUGAACGCUGGCGGCAUGCCUUACACAUGCAAGUCGAACGGCAGCAUGAUCUAGCUUGCUAGAUUGAUGGCGAGUGGCGAACCGGGUGAGUAAUACAUCGGAACGUGCCCUGUAGUGGGGGAUAACUAGUCGAAAGAUUAGCUAAUACCGCAUACGACCUGAGGGUGAAAGUGGGGGACCGCAAGGCCUCAUGCUAUAGGAGCGG
This 225-nucleotide ribosomal RNA is filed under the name uncultured microorganism. RNAcentral's name for it is "partial 16S ribosomal RNA". It matches the Rfam family "Bacterial small subunit ribosomal RNA", at positions 9 to 229 of the family's 1533-position model. The record is from RNAcentral.